Molecule: ribosomal RNA, 650 nt
Filed under: uncultured bacterium
Lineage: Bacteria
Description: bacterial SSU rRNA
Rfam family: Bacterial small subunit ribosomal RNA
Source: RNAcentral
GAGCGGCGAACGGGUGAGUAACACAUCGGAACGUACCCAGUUGUGGGGGAUAGCCCGGCGAAAGCCGGAUUAAUACCGCAUAAGUCUGAGGGAGAAAGCGGGGGAUCGCAAGACCUCGCGCGAUUGGAGCGGCCGAUGUCGGAUUAGCUAGUUGGUGGGGUAAAGGCCUACCAAGGCGACGAUCCGUAGCUGGUCUGAGAGGACGACCAGCCACACUGGAACUGAGACACGGUCCAGACUCCUACGGGAGGCAGCAGUGGGGAAUUUUGGACAAUGGGGGCAACCCUGAUCCAGCCAUUCCGCGUGAGUGAAGAUGGCCUUCGGGUUGUAAAGCUCUUUCGGCAGGAACGAAACGGUGAGGGCUAAUACCCUUUACUAAUGACGGUACCUGAAGAAGAAGCACCGGCUAACUACGUGCCAGCAGCCGCGGUAAUACGUAGGGUGCGAGCGUUAAUCGGAAUUACUGGGCGUAAAGCGUGCGCAGGCGGUUUUGUAAGACAGCUGUGAAAUCCCCGGGCUCAACCUGGGAACUGCGGUUGUGACUGCAAGACUGGAGUGUGGCAGAGGGGGGUGGAAUUCCACGUGUAGCAGUGAAAUGCGUAGAGAUGUGGAGGAACACCGAUGGCGAAGGCAGCCCCCUGGGUCAACAC